This 580-nucleotide ribosomal RNA is filed under the name uncultured bacterium. RNAcentral describes it as "bacterial SSU rRNA". It matches the Rfam family "Bacterial small subunit ribosomal RNA", at positions 356 to 920 of the family's 1533-position model. The record is from RNAcentral.
GGGGUCUAUAGGGAAUUGGGGGGGCGAGCUUUGAAUGCAGAGAUGUUUGUGUGAGUGAAGAGGGCGCUUCGGGUUGUAAAGCUCUUUUAGACGGAAAGAAAUGUCUCGGGGUAAUACCUUGGGAGGAUGACGGUACCGUAAGAAGAAGCACCGGCUAACUACGUGCCAGCAGCCGCGGUAAUACGUAGGGUGCGAGCGUUAAUCGGAAUUACUGGGCGUAAAGCGUGCGCAGGCGGUGAUGUAAGACAGAUGUGAAAUCCCCGGGCUCAACCUGGGAACUGCGUUUGUGACUGCAUCACUCGAGUACGGCAGAGGGAGGUGGAAUUCCGCGUGUAGCAGUGAAAUGCGUAGAUAUGCGGAGGAACACCGAUGGCGAAGGCAGCCUCCUGGGCCAGUACUGACGCUCAUGCACGAAAGCGUGGGGAGCAAACAGGAUUAGAUACCCUGGUAGUCCACGCCCUAAACGAUGUCAACUAGUUGUUCGGUGAGGAGACUCAUUGAGUAACGCAUCUAACGCGUGAAGUUGACCCCUCUGGGGAGUACGGUCGCAAGGUUAAAACUCAAAGGAAUUGCAGGGGGC